This 863-nucleotide ribosomal RNA is filed under the name uncultured bacterium. Its description in RNAcentral is "bacterial SSU rRNA". It matches the Rfam family "Bacterial small subunit ribosomal RNA", at positions 615 to 1502 of the family's 1533-position model. The record is from RNAcentral.
UCGGAACUGCAUUUGAAACUGGGAGUCUAGAGAUCAGGAGAGGUUAGCGGAAUACCGAGUGUAGAGGUGAAAUUCGUAGAUAUUCGGUGGAACACCAGUGGCGAAGGCGGCUAACUGGACUGAUACUGACGCUGAGGUGCGAAAGUGUGGGGAGCAAACAGGAUUAGAUACCCUGGUAGUCCACACCGUAAACGAUGAGUGCUAGUUGUCUGCAGGCAUGCCUGUAGGUGACGCAGCUAACGCAUUAAGCACUCCGCCUGGGGAGUACGGCCGCAAGGUUAAAACUCAAAGAAAUUGACGGGGGCCCGCACAAGCGGUGGAGCAUGUGGUUUAAUUCGAAGCAACGCGCAGAACCUUACCUACGCUUGACAUGCCCGGACGAUUUCCAGAGAUGGAUCUCUCCCUUCGGGGCCGGUGCACAGGUGCUGCAUGGCUGUCGUCAGCUCGUGUCGUGAGAUGUUGGGUUAAGUCCCGCAACGAGCGCAACCCUCAUCCUUAGUUGCCAUCACGUUUGGGUGGGCACUCUAGGGAAACUGCCGGUGCUAAGCCGGAGGAAGGCGGGGAUGACGUCAAGUCCUCAUGGCCCUUACGCGUAGGGCUACACACGUGCUACAAUGGCGGUGACAAUGGGAUAAUCCCCAAAAACCGUCUCAGUUCGGAUUGUCGGCUGCAACUCGCCGGCAUGAAGUUGGAAUCGCUAGUAAUCGUGGAUCAGCAUGCCACGGUGAAUACGUUCCCGGGCCUUGUACACACCGCCCGUCACACCAUGGGAGUUGGAUCUACCCGAAGAUUGUGAGCUAACUUCGGAGGCAGCAAGCCACGGUAGGUUCAGCGACUGGGGUGAAGUCGUAACAAGGUACCCG